This 253-nucleotide ribosomal RNA is filed under the name uncultured bacterium. Its description in RNAcentral is "partial 16S ribosomal RNA". It matches the Rfam family "Bacterial small subunit ribosomal RNA", at positions 524 to 776 of the family's 1533-position model. The record is from RNAcentral.
UACGUAGGGUGCAAGCGUUAAUCGGAAUUACUGGGCGUAAAGCGUGCGCAGGCGGUUAUGUAAGACCGAUGUGAAAUCCCCGGGCUUAACCUGGGAACUGCAUUGGUGACUGGCAGGCUAGAGUAUGGCAGAGGGGGGUAGAAUUCCACGUGUAGCAGUGAAAUGCGUAGAGAUGUGGAGGAAUACCGAUGGCGAAGGCAGCCCCCUGGGCCAAUACUGACGCUCAUGCACGAAAGCGUGGGGAGCAAACAGG